Non-coding RNA from Schizophyllum commune H4-8, 81 nucleotides. NCBI's taxonomy places the organism in Eukaryota, Fungi, Basidiomycota, Agaricomycetes, Agaricales, Schizophyllaceae. The record is from Rfam.
GCAUUAAUGGGGUAGUGGUAACCUGGGUCGUUGCCAAAGCAGCUACUCGACCCGCCGGGGGUUCGAUUCCCCCUUAAUGCA